This is a non-coding RNA of Physcomitrium patens, 1752 nucleotides long. The record is from RefSeq and is a predicted model, not a curated record. Lineage: Eukaryota; Viridiplantae; Streptophyta; Bryopsida; Funariales; Funariaceae.
CACACACAAAAACCGAAGGGUACACGUGGACCACUUAAUUCACGCGGCAUAGACACGUCAGCGGGCGACACCGAUUGGGUCAGUGCCGCGUGGCACGCCAGUUGGCACAGCCUCUACUGCUCCUGCCCUGGGGCAGUGGCAUUGCAGAGCAGCGAUGCAGCGAUGGCGCAGGACCACCACCGCGAGCGAUGUCGGCUCUUGCUGUAGCUAUGGACAGCGCCACCCCGGAGUCGAGUAAUGCGCGCCGUUGGCUCGCACCGCCGACGUGAAUCACACAACAAGAUUGUGUGGGUUCAGUCUGGACCGAAGUGCCGGGGCCGGGGAGCGGGCACGUGCGAGAGAGAUCGUGUUGCAGGGUGGCGAUGGCCGUGGCGCUUCCUCGUCCAACAGUCUGCAGACGGUCACUGUGACUCGUCUUGUCGAGCUCGGUUGUGGAACGCGUGAUUCUCAUCUUGUAUUUUCGCGGCGGUGAAGCUAGCAAAGUUGGGGUGGCGUUUCAUGAAGAGUGGCUGUCACCCAGGAGGUACCGAGAGCAGAAUUUCGUGUUUCCAGCUUGCAUCCACAAAAAAUCAGACCGUCCUCAGCGUGCACGCAUCCUGAUUAUGAAUCAUCGUCUAGGUGAGACUUGUAGAUGCUGAGAUUGUGACGGGCGUGCUGGCAGUUCUGGUUGUUUUAUGUGAGCAGUUGUGUCGUGCCUUUCUUAACUUUCCAAGUUAUGGAAGAGUUGAGGAAAUAUUUAACAGCAGCAUCUCACGUAUGGGGGGAACAGUUGUUAAAGUCUGCUUGCUUCUGGCCGAUGCCCUUUUUCCAGUUCCUCGAAUUCGGUGAGCAUGCUUUUUCUGCCAGUCCUCCUUGCUUUGUUCGCAGCGACCACGAUGACGACCUCGUAUCCUGCCAUGUGCUAGAAGAAACUUGAAGUGCACAAGAGUCGACACGAGACUGUUGUGAUCGUGACGAAGCAACAACCUGAUACACUCAACCGUGUCUGUCACCCUCAUGUCCUUCAUGGUGGUUCCAUGACCAGAUUACAGUUGCAACUGCAGAGCCUUAAGUGCAAUCACACUCCCCAUAAACUGAGCCUCUACAGAAUCAGUACUCUCUGGGGUACUAGGUAGGUUACCCUCUCAUGUCAUCUCAACGGGGAGCUUCUGCCCGAUGUAUACAACAUGAGCUUCGGACCACGUUUAGGCAGAUCCAUGAGAUUCCAAAGCUAACUACCAGCGAUGUGCACUUUAUCUAGAGCUAUUUCGACCGAAGCCCAUGUACAACAUGCGGCUCCGAGCAUGUGACAAUCAAUGUAGAGUCGCAAACACGUCAUGGGUCGCCACUUCAGCUGCGAGAACCCAAAUUCCGUGAUCUGGAAAUGACUCUUUAUCUCCUUGACAUGCUUAGAAAAUGUUGGUUAUAAACACAGGUCGCUUUCUGGGUUAUAGACAUGAUAGUUCAACCCAGGAGACCUUCGAAGACUCAGAGUGCAAUGAAUGGGAUGAUACCGCAGCUUGAUUUCAUGAAACCUUUUCAAAGGAGAAAAGCUUCUAGCCUGCAGAACAGCACAAAAUUUGCCGGGCUCUCUGUCCGAAUGUCAGCUGCAGGAGCUGCUUCCAAUGUCAUGGUUUAGCCAUGGAAGGAGUUCCAUGCAAGUUUUUCUUUCUGCAGUGAAGGUCAGUCUGACGAUGUUAUCAUAAUAAUAAUAAUAAUUCACUAUCAAAAUAUUCUUAAAUGCGUGUGCGGAAAUGCUUUUGAAUAUGUAAU